Long non-coding RNA from Paramormyrops kingsleyae, 429 nucleotides. RefSeq lists it as uncharacterized. The record is from RefSeq and is a predicted model, not a curated record. NCBI's taxonomy places the organism in Eukaryota, Metazoa, Chordata, Actinopteri, Osteoglossiformes, Mormyridae.
AGGGAAUGAAGUGGAUUUCAUCUGCAGCGAAGCCUGACGAAAAAAAAUGUACUCUCAGUAAAUCCAAAAUAGCACUUGACGAGUCUUGACGCAAUUUCUUGUAUGCAGAAAGGCGCCUAUGGAUGAACCAUAGAGAGGAAACCAUAUUAUCCAGAAAAAACCUGAACAACAUGAGGAGGACGUGCAAACUCCACACAGACAGAGCUGGAGAUGAAACACAACAGUCACACCCACCACUGCUAAUAUUGUCAUUCUUAAAUAUCACUCUGGGAAUAAUGCUUUCCAGGGAGCAAGGUGUUUAAGUAUUUUAAUGAAUUAUGUGUAUUCAUGUUGGAGUGUAAACACAAUAUUACUAAAGUUUGAAUAAUACUUUUCAAAAAUGUUACAAUACAUUUGUAAUACCAUUGAUAAUUAUAACAUUUAAUUUGA